CCUACGGGUGACAGCAGUGAGGAAUAUUGGUCAAUGGGCGGGAGCCUGAACCAGCCAAGCCGCGUGAAGGAAGAAGGCGCCAAGCGUCGUAAACUUCUUUUGUCGGGGAACAAAUGGCGCCACGUGUGCCUUUUUGAGUGUACCCGAAGAAAAAGCAUCGGCUAACUCCGUGCCAGCAGCCGCGGUAAUACGGAGGAUGCGAGCGUUAUCCGGAUUUAUUGGGUUUAAAGGGUGCGUAGGCGGGUCGGAAAGUCAGCGUGUAAAGGCCGGGGGUCAACCCCGGGGAGGCGGUUGAAACUGUCGGACUAGAGAAGGCGAGAGGUACGCGGAAUGCGCGGUGUAGCGGUGAAAUGCAUAGAUAUCGCGAAGAACCCCGAUUGCGAAGGCAGCGUACCGGCGCCGGACUGACGCUGAGGCACGAAAGCGUGGGUAUCGAACAGGAUUAGAUACCCCAGUAGUC
This 460-nucleotide ribosomal RNA is filed under the name uncultured bacterium. Its description in RNAcentral is "partial 16S ribosomal RNA". It matches the Rfam family "Bacterial small subunit ribosomal RNA", at positions 338 to 795 of the family's 1533-position model. The record is from RNAcentral.